UGGGGAAUAUUGCACAAUGGGCGCAAGCCUGAUGCAGCCAUGCCGCGUGUAUGAAGAAGGCCUUCGGGUUGUAAAGUACUUUAAGCGGGGAGGAAGGUGUUGAGGUUAAUAACCUCAGCAAUUGACGUUACCCGCAGAAGAAGCACCGGCUAACUCCGUGCCAGCAGCCGCGGUAAUACGGAGGGUGCAAGCGUUAAUCGGAAUUACUGGGCGUAAAGCGCACGCAGGCGGUCUGUCAAGUCGGAUGUGAAAUCCCCGGGCUCAACCUGGGAACUGCAUUCGAAACUGGCAGGCUAGAGUCUUGUAGAGGGGGGUAGAAUUCCAGGUGUAGCGGUGAAAUGCGUAGAGAUCUGGAGGAAUACCGGUGGCGAAGGCGGCCCCCUGGACAAAGACUGACGCUCAGGUGCGAAAGCGUGGGGAGCAAACA
RNAcentral lists this ribosomal RNA (427 nucleotides) under uncultured bacterium. Its description in RNAcentral is "partial 16S ribosomal RNA". It matches the Rfam family "Bacterial small subunit ribosomal RNA", at positions 355 to 774 of the family's 1533-position model. The record is from RNAcentral.